Molecule: long non-coding RNA, 1250 nt
Filed under: Sus scrofa (pig)
Lineage: Eukaryota; Metazoa; Chordata; Mammalia; Artiodactyla; Suidae
Description: lncRNA (ENSSSCG00005008550.1)
Source: RNAcentral
CAAGAAGCAGAGACAUGGGCAAAUCACUUGUUUGUGAUGAUAAGCCUCAUGGUGAAUUAAAGAAUAAUGAUCAAAAUAUGUGAACGAAUUGGUUGAAAGAGACAGUACCCUCACUCAGUAUCUCUUCCUUUUUCUUAGAAAUGGUUGAGAAAAAGGCAAAGGGAGCCCACCUGGGGAUAAACAACUGAAGAUAACUGACAUAGCUUUUGGAAUGCAACAUAGCAAGAUAGCAAUGUAUGGAAGGCAUUUCCUAGGGUAUGAAAAGGAUGCAGAUGAGAAUAGAAGACAUGGGCUCACAAUACAUUUUAAGAGGAAGUCAUCAGCAUUUUAAUCCUCUACAAGAACCAUAGACACCCACGCAGCUGUUGUCAGAAGAAAAGGUAAGAAAAACAAUUUUUUUUCCAACAGCAGAAAAGAAUUUGAAUUACUACUUCUUUUAGUCACUUAUUUUUCUCACUCAUGUGCAGUAUUUUCUUUAACUUGGGUACCGCGUUUUGGUUACUAAUAACUGCUGAUCUGUCCUGAAUGAAUGGAUUAGUUUAUAGGAAAGAUUUGCAUGAUAGAGAAUCAGUAGGGCAAGUUUAAAUCCCUUGCUGGUGUGGAGAGAGGAAACAAAUUAAUCUGGUGAUUGUUGAUAAAUUGUGAGCAGAGAAGUGAAAAAAUAUAUUUUUUUGGGGGAAAAAUGAUCGUCUGUAAUGUCAAAAGUGAAAAAUACCAGGAAAAUUCAAGUAAGGGAUCCUAAGCCUCUGCUUUAUCCCACACUCAUAAAAACUGAUUUGAGCUGAUGUUGGAUUCUAUCCAUUAAUAGAGAAAAAAUGACUUUCACAAUUAACUCCUUAUAUGAAUAAGGAGUUUUGCCCAAUAUGAAGUGGUAUACCUGGAUGUUAUAUGUGUGAGGCUACUUUAAGAGAGUCUUAACCCAUAAAUAAGGGAAAGAAGGGAGGAAAGGACAAAGACACCUUUUUCGACUGAUGUUUUUAUUGCUGCAGAUACCUAUUCUUUCCUUUCUUUCUUUCUUUCUUUCUUUCUUUCUUUCUUUCUUUCUUUCUUUCUUUUGACCUAUUCUCUUUUGAUCUUGGAACAUGAAGUGUGGUUUGUGGGAUUGAGCUGGGUUUGUUAGGGUCAUAUGUUAAAACUUAGGUAGCACUUGCUCCAGUUAUCAUUGCCUUGUUAUGGCAUAUUUUAUCAUUAGGAUUUGCAGGAUAAGCCUUAUAAAAAUUACACAUUUUAUCACCCCACAUAAAAGUGAC